This is a long non-coding RNA of Dreissena polymorpha, 2165 nucleotides long. RefSeq lists it as uncharacterized. Lineage: Eukaryota; Metazoa; Mollusca; Bivalvia; Myida; Dreissenidae. The transcript has 3 exons. The record is from RefSeq and is a predicted model, not a curated record.
CUCUCAAAUUUCCAUUAAAUGCAACUUUUGACGAUUUGAAAACCUGAAAAUUAUAAAGCGUCUCAAACGCGAAAUGAGUUAUUUUUAGUCAGAAAUUGUGAAUGGGAUCCCAACUAGUAUACCAGAAUGCAGCAUGCGCAUGCGCGCUGCGCUUAUCCGCUUUGGGUUUACAAACAAUGCAUCUCAUUUCUGUGAGAAAAAGAGAAACAAAAGCCGGAGCCAGCGACAUCGCUCGAAUUUAUUCAAUCUUGGCGACAAGACUAAGUGUUUGCAGAACCAUAGGAGGAUCGUUGGAAGAGACGAAGACAGGGUAAUGGCUUAAACACACGAAAUGUAUUUAGGAAGACGUGCUGGCCAAACUAUUGCAAGUUUACUGUUCAGCAUAAUGUUAGAUCAACAAACUCUUCACCUAUGCACGAUCAUCAGCCCCAGCCAGGUCCUGGCCUGUCAUUUGUGUCACAAGGAAGUACCACACCUGGUCAUGUGUCAGAAAUUGGAGAGAUAACAUCUUACUAAGAAGUAAAUUGAAGGCAGCCAACAAUUGGACGGUGGUGCCAAUCAAUGAAAAGAAGGGAUACACCUACAUGCACUGAGUACACAGAGAUCAUCAAGGAAAAAACCCUUCGAUCAAAGUUCCUUUUUGAUUCAGCUUAUCCAAAGCUGAUUGCCUCUACAAUUGCCCCUUAUAUAUCCACCUGCGGCUAAUGAGGAGCUGCAAUAUCCAAUAGGUCAAGGGCAAGCAACCCGGAAACAAUGUGAAGAUUUACUCAUACAAAUUGGUACAUGGUGUAUGUAACUAUGUUGUUUUAACUAACUUCAACAUACCAUUAUUAUGAAUUAAAAAUUUGACAAAGCUGAAAUAAAUGAUAACCGACUAUGGGUAGGAACAUGUUGUGUGAAUUUGGCAGCAUGGUUUUAUAGGACGUAUACCAUUGAGUAUGAAAGUGCAUGUGUGACCCUGGCUGUUUUUUCAGUCAGUAGAUGACUUUAGUAUUUGAAAUGAUGCUUGAAUUUAUUUGUGUAAUAUGAAGGCGUGACCAAAUGUGUGACAUUAUGGUCGACUGUCCUGUCAUCAUCAUGGUGAUUAAAUGUGAUUUUAAUAAGUGAACUGCUUAUAAACAUAGGGCAGAAAUAUCAUUGAUAAAAUACUGAUGAACAUAGCAUACAAGUGCCCUGAAAUGCCAUGAGAAUAUGUAUUUGAGUUUUAGGUGUGUAAGGUAUUGUGAAUUUUGUUAAUUGUUUUGUUAUAAAAAUAUAGGAUCCAAAGUAUUAAAUCAUAGAUCACUCUGAAAAAGAAGAAUAAGUCUGGCAAAUACCUACAUAAACAAUGGGCCAAGUUCCAGAUUUUUUUGUCAUAAGUCAAGAUUAUUAACAGGAAUUGUUGACUCUUAUAGGUGUUAUGUUUCAUGAUUUGUGUUAAGUUUUUAUGGGAGACCCAUGAUCAAACAUGGUGAAUUAAUUGUUUUGUUAUUACAAUAGAGGAUCCAAAGUAUUUGAUAUAGGUCACUCUGAAACAGAAGAAUUUGUGAAAACCUUGUCUGGCAAAUAGCUAAAUAAACACUGGGUUCAGCAUUUUCCUGAUUUUUUGUCACAAGUAAAGACUAUGAACAGGAAUUAUUGACUCUUUUAGGUAUAAGCUACCAUAGUCAAUGUUGAGUGUGUGCUGCACACCACAUUUGUUUAUGUUCCAUUAACAAUGACAUCAAAGCACAAUGCUAUAUAUAGAUUAUGUAUUGUUUUCCAUUGUUUAUCAGUCUAUAAACAACCAUUUAUUGUAAAAGCCUUACAUAAACUGUCAUAAAGAUGAUAAAGUGCUGUUUAUCCAUAAAUAAAAAAUUGGUGGAAUUCAGAAAUAAUUUGAUCUGUCAAAUGUUGAAAGUUGGAAACAUUUAUUCAAAAUGUUAUCAAUUAUAGUUUUGUUUCAUGAAUAUAAAGUAUUAUGUUUUGUGUUCAUUAUGUUAAGGAUUUUGUUGUUUUGGUUUAAAAUGUUUUAAUAAAUAACAUGAAGAAAUAAGAAGCUAGUUGUUCAAUUUUGAUUUAUUAUUACAUGUAUAUUACACAGCAAAGCAUUACUGCAAGAAUGUUAAGUGAACACCUUAUUAUAAUACAUGUUGAGUUCAACACUGAACAAAAGAAUAUGCAUCAAUUAAAAACAACUCAUAAUA